GGCCGAGACUUGAGCAACGUAAACCUAUAUUCAUCGAACCUCGAAGGAAUGUUGAGUUUGCGGAGACUAUGGAUGGCUUUUAUGAAAAAGUGAAAAGCACCAAGUUUAAAGGAGCGAUGUUUUUGGCUUUAUGUAGAGGAAAGAUCAUACAGAAGAAAAGUUAAAGGAAAAGACUGAGGAUGAUGCCAGUAAAGGAGAUGGCAAAGAAUCCGAUAGCAAUGUGCUGGAAAGUAACGAUGAAAGCUCUGUAAAGAAAACAUUGUAAAAAAUGCUUCACACGUGGAAUAUUAAAGUCAGAAAAUAAUGCUAUGGCAAAAUAUAGAGUUUGAAAUUUGAAGCGAUA
Xenia sp. Carnegie-2017 is the source of this 343-nucleotide long non-coding RNA. RefSeq lists it as uncharacterized. NCBI's taxonomy places the organism in Eukaryota, Metazoa, Cnidaria, Anthozoa, Malacalcyonacea, Xeniidae. The record is from RefSeq and is a predicted model, not a curated record. The transcript has 3 exons.